RNAcentral lists this ribosomal RNA (445 nucleotides) under uncultured bacterium. RNAcentral describes it as "bacterial SSU rRNA". It matches the Rfam family "Bacterial small subunit ribosomal RNA", at positions 355 to 816 of the family's 1533-position model. The record is from RNAcentral.
UGGGGAAUAUUGCGCAAUGGGCGAAAGCCUGAUGCAGCAACGCCGCGUGCGGGAAGAAGGCCCUAGGGUUGUAAACCGCUUUCAGCAGGGAAGAAAAUUGACGGUACCUGCAGAAGAAGGUGCGGCCAACUACGUGCCAGCAGCCGCGGUGACACGUAGGGUGCAAGCGUUGUCCGGAAUUAUUGGGCGUAAAGAGCUCGUAGGCGGUCCGUUGCGUCUGCCGUGAAAACCCGGAGCUCAACUCCGGGCCUGCGGUGGAUACGGGCGGACUAGAGUCCGGUAGGGGAGACUGGAAUUCCUGGUGUAGCGGUGGAAUGCGCAGAUAUCAGGAGGAACACCGGUGGCGAAGGCGGGUCUCUGGGCCGGAACUGACGCUGAGGAGCGAAAGCGUGGGGAGCGAACAGGAUUAGAUACCCUGGUAGUCCACGCCGUAAACGGUGGGCGC